Long non-coding RNA from Heteronotia binoei (common prickly gecko), 862 nucleotides. RefSeq lists it as uncharacterized. The transcript is spliced from 3 exons. Lineage: Eukaryota; Metazoa; Chordata; Lepidosauria; Squamata; Gekkonidae. The record is from RefSeq and is a predicted model, not a curated record.
AGAAUUCAACUAAAGUGGCUAAGGCACCAUCUCCAUGGAGUACUAGUGGAAAAUAUACAGGAACACCCUCUCCCCUUUCACCCAGCCCUUCUCCUGUGAGCUCUGUGGGAUCGCAAGGAAGCACUGGAACACCUUCUCCGUCCUCCAUAAUCAGCAUCCCACAGCGAAUUCAUCAGAUGGCAGCCAAUCACGUUAGCAUCACCAACAGCAUCUUACACAGUUACGACUACUGGGAGAUGGCUGACAAUCUUGCCAAGGAAAACCAAGAUUUCUUUAAUGAUUUGGAUGCAUUGAUGGGGCCUGUUACCUUGCACAGCAGUAUGGAGCACCUGGUCCAAUACACACAACAAGGACUUCACUGGAUAAGGAGUAGGGCUGAGUUGUCAUAGUGAAUGCGUGCUGCUCAUCUGGACACUAGAUUCUCCCACAGGCAAUUCAGUUAUUCUAGACACUGUGCUACAGAAAUACUCAACAGCAUUGCUUCAGACAAAUGUGAAUACUACUUCUGAUGCUAGACAAUAUUUUUCCAGAGUGCAGAAAUAGAUGUGUAUGUAUAUUAUGCAAUGUUUGUCUGUUCUGAUACUUUGUCUUUUUCAAUUCAGCUCCUCUGUAAAGAACAGGAGGGUUAUGUUUACACACACACACACACUCACACUCCACAUACACACUCUCCUCUCCUUCAGUACUUAAACAACUAAACCAGAACUUCAUAGGUUGAUUUAACCAGGUACAACAAAAAAUUCUCUCAAUUCUGAAAAGUAUUUUCCACUCAACUUUUAAACACAUUCUCAAAUAGCUGCUUAACUGUAACUUUGAAAGAGAUGACAUUUCUUGAAUUAGGCCAAUUGGAGGUUCUCUACAU